Molecule: ribosomal RNA, 253 nt
Filed under: uncultured bacterium
Lineage: Bacteria
Description: partial 16S ribosomal RNA
Rfam family: Bacterial small subunit ribosomal RNA
Source: RNAcentral
UACGAAGGGGGCUAGCGUUGCUCGGAAUCACUGGGCGUAAAGGGUGCGUAGGCGGGUUUUUAAGUCAGAGGUGAAAUCCUGGAGCUCAACUCCAGAACUGCCUUUGAUACUGAAAGUCUUGAGUACGGGAGAGGUGAGUGGAACUGCGAGUGUAGAGGUGAAAUUCGUAUAUAUUCGCAAGAACACCAGUGGCGAAGGCGGCUCACUGGCCCGUAACUGACGCUGAGGCACGAAAGCGUGGGGAGCAAACAGG